AGUGUGAUUGCUGGGUCAUUCUUUAAGUGUAUAUUUAGUUUUAAGAAAAUUCCAAGCUGUUUUCCAGAGUGGUUGUAUCAUUUUACAUUCUCACCAGCAAU
Molecule: microRNA precursor, 101 nt
Filed under: Marmota monax (woodchuck)
Lineage: Eukaryota; Metazoa; Chordata; Mammalia; Rodentia; Sciuridae
Source: RNAcentral